Peromyscus eremicus (cactus mouse) is the source of this 546-nucleotide non-coding RNA. The record is from the annotation of a RefSeq genome assembly. Lineage: Eukaryota; Metazoa; Chordata; Mammalia; Rodentia; Cricetidae.
CUCACCAUGGGAUGGAGCUGGAUCAUCCUCUUCCUCCUGUCAGUAACUACAGGUGUCCACUCCCAGGUCCAGCUGCAGCAGUCUGGUCCUGAGCUGGGGAAACCCGGGUCCUCAGUGAAGUUGUCCUGCAAGGCUUCUGGCUACACCUUCACUAACUACUUUAUGCAUUGGGUGAAGCAGAGGCCUGGACAGGGCCUGGAGUGGAUUGGAAGGAUUAAUCCUUGGAAUGGUAAUACUAACUAUGCUCAGAAGUUCCAGGGCAAGGCCACACUGACUGUAGACAAAUCCUCCAGCACAGCCUACAUGGAGCUCAGCAGCCUGACCUCCGAGGACUCUGCAGUCUAUUACUGUGCAAGAGACACAGUGUUGCAACCACAUCCUGAGUGUGUCAGAAACCCUGGAGGAGCAGGAAGCUGCCCUGGGACUGAGAUGACAGAUAAGAUUAGACUAGAGACUUGUUCAAAUAUCAUCAUUCUGAAGGUCCCUUUUUCACUUCAAAGUCUUAUAGAGUCUUUGUCAACUUUCCAAAAGGACUGCUGGGAAUAA